AACGAACGCUGGCGGCAGGCCUAAACAUGCAAGUCGAACGCAACCCGCAAGGGUUGAGUGGCAGACGGCUGAGUAACGCGUGGGUGACGUGCCGAUAGGUGGGGAAUAACUGCCCGAAAGGGUGGCUAAUACCGCAUACGUCCACUGAUUCGCUUUCAGUGGGGAAAGCCGCAAGGCGCCGAUCGAGCGGCCCGCGUCCGAUUAGCUUGUUGGUGGGGUAACGCCUACCAAGGCGACGAUCGGUAGCUGGUCUCAGAGGAUGAUCAGCCAGACUGGGACUGAGACACGGCCCAGACUCCUACGGGAGGCAGCAGUUAGGAAUUUGGGCAAUGGGCGCAAGCCUGACCCAGCAACGCCGCGUGGGUGACGAAGGCCUUCGGU
RNAcentral lists this ribosomal RNA (381 nucleotides) under uncultured bacterium. Its description in RNAcentral is "bacterial SSU rRNA". It matches the Rfam family "Bacterial small subunit ribosomal RNA", at positions 29 to 422 of the family's 1533-position model. The record is from RNAcentral.